Molecule: long non-coding RNA, 925 nt
Filed under: Equus asinus (donkey)
Lineage: Eukaryota; Metazoa; Chordata; Mammalia; Perissodactyla; Equidae
Description: lncRNA (ENSEASG00005033705.1)
Source: RNAcentral
GGCCGCCCCCUACCCGCGACUGCCGGCGCACGAGCCCGGCCCCCCACCUGCAGCGACCGGCCGGGAAGCCAGCGUGCCACAAGUCAGAGUUGCAGGAAGUCAGACCAGCAUCUCCAGCAACUGGUCCAGGAGGCCGCACAACCACCCCGUGACACUCAGCCCCAGAUGGCCAGAACGUGAUCAGUAACUGACAGCUUCCCCAAUUUCUGUCCUUCCUUCCAACUUGGGACCAACCAGAGAAAGCCAAAAUGCUCCCCUAACCAAUCGCGAGGACACCCCGCUUCCAGAUCCCCACCUCCAGCAUCCGCCAUGGCCCCAUCCGGACAACCCUGAGCCCCCGUUUCUUUCCGCUGAAGUCUCUGCUCCUCCGCCUACCUUUGGGUUUCUGCCAUCACAAGUGUCGACCCCGCCUGCUACAGUGCGCCCUGAGUAGCAGCCUCUGCUGUUUUCACCUGGGGGGUCCUUGUUUCCAUUCUAGCGUCUGCUCAGCACCGUCCGUGUUGCAGCCGUGUUCUAGAUGGAUACAACAGGGCACAAACAGAAACCGUUUCCCCACAGGGACGCAAAUCACAAAACCCCCAUAGGAUGGUCCCACCGGCACCUCUCCUCGCUGGUGCCUCUCCCGGCGCCUCAGGCCCCUUGCUGGGAAAGCUGCCUUCCCUGAAGAAGCCAACGACAUCAAGUCUUCCAACCCAUGAGACAGUGUAUUUCUCCAUUAUUUAGAUAUUCUGAUUUCUCUCAGCAGGGUUUUGUAGUUUUCAGUGUACAGGGCUUGCACAUCUUUUGUCAGAUGUAUCCCUAAAUAUUCGUAUUUUUAAUGUUAUUGUGAUUACUUUUAUUACAUUUCAUUUGAUUGUUUUUGUGUAUUUUGGGGGGUUUGUGUAUUGUUGCAUCCUGCCAUUGGCUAAGCUCACCAAAACUCAUA